Molecule: ribosomal RNA, 497 nt
Filed under: uncultured bacterium
Lineage: Bacteria
Description: partial 16S ribosomal RNA
Rfam family: Bacterial small subunit ribosomal RNA
Source: RNAcentral
GAUGAACGCUGGCGGCGUGCCUAACACAUGCAAGUCGAACGGACAGACCAGGAGCUUGCUCGGCUGACGUUAGCGGCGGACGGGAGAGAAACACGUGUAUCACCCACCUGUCAGACUGGGAUAAUUACGGGAAACGGGCGCUAAUACCGGAUAAUAUAUUGCUGCGCAUGGUUCCAUAGUAAAUUACGGUUUUGGUGUCACUUAUAGCUGCAUACGCGCCGCAUUAUCUAGUUGGUGAGGUAACGGCUUACCACGGCAACGAUGCGUAGCCGACCUGAGAGGGUGAUCGGCCACCUGGGAAGUGAGACAGGGUCCAGACUCCUACGGGAGGCAGCAGUAGGGAAUCUUCCGCAAUGGGGGAAAGCCUGACGGAGCAACGCGGAGUGAGUGAUGAAGGUGCUCGGAUCGGAAAGCUCUGUUAUUAGGUAAGAACAAAUGUGGAAGUAACUAUGCAGGUCUUGACGGUACCUAAUCAGAAAGCAACGGCUAACUACGUG